RNAcentral lists this ribosomal RNA (301 nucleotides) under uncultured bacterium. RNAcentral describes it as "partial 16S ribosomal RNA". It matches the Rfam family "Bacterial small subunit ribosomal RNA", at positions 509 to 807 of the family's 1533-position model. The record is from RNAcentral.
CAGUAGCCGCGGUAAAACAGAGGAUGCAAGCGUUAUCCGGAAUGAUUGGGCGUAAAGCGUCUGUAGGUGGCUUUUCAAGUCCGCCGUCAAAUCCCAGGGCUCAACCCUGGACAGGCGGUGGAAACUACCAAGCUGGAGUACGAUAGGGGCAGAGGGAGUUUCCGGUGGAGCGGUGAAAUGCGUUGAGACCGGAAAGAACACCAACGGCGAAAGCACUCUGCUGGGCCGACACUGACACUGAGAGACGAAAGCUAGGGGAGCAAAUGGGAUUAGAUACCCGGGUAGUCCCUGUCUCUUAUAC